UUCAACGUUCCCACCAAAGAUUUUUGACCUGUGAUUUUUGAAGACGCAUGUUUUCCCUCCGGCGUCACUCACUAUCGCUGGGUCUCUACUAUCUACUCUCCGUUAGCUGUUUAGGGUUUUCAACUUCUCAAUUCCAAAACUCACAGAUUCAAAAUCUCUAUUUAAACCAGGUUUUCGUUACUGCAUUGCUGUUAAAAGCAUGGAUCGAAAUGAAUGUGACGGCCAUAAACAAAAUGUAUUGGAUGAUGAGCAUGAAAAGUUUCAUGGAGUUGAGAAAUCAACUUCCCCUCAAAAACCUGGUAUUGUUGGCAAACAGAAUUUGGAAACUAAGUUUGCUUCUCAGACUCCAGAGAAAACAAAUCAGCCUUUAAAUGCCAAAUCUAAAGAGGGAGAAGCUGAACUUCUACAAAGACACAAAGCCAUGGUAGAACUCUUUGAUGGUAUGAGUUCUUCACUAAGAUUGCUUGGUCUGCGUAAAAAGUCCCCUACUUUUCAAAACAUCCGUACUCAGGUUGAAGUGCUGACAGGAAGGAAGUUCUCCUUCGGGCAGCUUGCACAGCUAAAAUAUUUACUUUCUGAAGCCAUACAAAUAGAUAAAAUCCUUGUGUAUGACAAGACAACUCUUUGUAUGAAGCCAGAUAUGAAAAUAACGAUGCUGUUUGAUGUGAUAGAGGGCCACAAUGAACAGUCUGAUUUUAUUGCUUUGCACCAACUAUUUGCUUCUAGACUUAUUAAUUACUUUACUGCAACUCCUGAGACCUGUGACAUACCAGAGGCUAUGUUGCCAGAUCCAUUUUGGAAAAGCAAAGAGACUGCUUCUGGAGGCAAGAUCAGUGCAGAUAUCAUAAUUCACGAGCAUGUUAGCCAAAUAAGUGAAAGCACUGCUCCAGAGAAAUCGCUUGCAAAUUCUUCAACAGGAGACCUACAAAUUACAUUUGAGAAUGAAAUGUUGUCAAAGUCAUCCCAUAUGCAUUCAUCUUUCAUCAGGCACUUCUCUGAGACGGUUGUGACUGACGAAGAGAAGACCCAACUAUUAGCUUCUUCAGUUCCUUUGUCAUUCAUGGCACCUUAUAGUUUGAAGAAUCAAGAUGUUAAAGUUGAGAAAACAAGAGAAUUUCCUGAUCUGAGUUCCAAUUUUGGUACUGGGACCAAUCUGGACAUCAAAUAUGAGAAAGUAGAAGAGUCUCCUAGCACAAAUUCCAAAUCUACCUCACAUGUUCAAACAAGCAAUCCUCAAUUCUGUGUUAGUAAUGCUUGCGCAAGCCCCCUAUACAAGCUUGCCUCAUCUGCUGAUAACUUAAUGGUAGAAACACCUGCACAGUCAACUCCGAAAAGGGUAACACCAAAUAGUGAUGAUAACCAUAAGGGGAAAGCCAGCCAAAAUCAGGCAGCAUAUUGUAAGGCUGCAAAGAGGUCUUUAGACUUUUCAUUCUUUGAAGACGGUGAGUCAGAGUUCUGUGAAUUUUUACCAGAAAACAUCUCUCAGACUCUGGAUGUUACUCCUGUGAAACUUCAAGAGGUAAAGGGACUAGGUUGUGCUGCUGAGGAACAUGAAACGAAUCAACCAGAUGUUUUGCAUCAGCAGACUUCUACUUACUUGCCGGGCCUAGUUUCUUUGAUUCACCACAUAUUCCAGUCUGUGAACUAUUGUCCAAUCACAAAGGAGGAACUUGUGCAUAAGAUAAUCAUAAACAGUUUUGAUUUUGAAGAAAAAAGGCAAGUUGAAGAGCAGAUUGAGAUUCUUGAACGGCUGGUUCCAGAUUGGAUUUGCAUAAAGCUUGCACCUGCGGGAGAUGUGUUGUACAGGUGGAUGUACCAUAUUUCCUUAUAAUCUUCAUCGAGAAAUUGUCAGAUUUGAACUCUGUGAAGUCCAGGGUUGUUGUCACAUAAAAAAUCUUAAAGGGGUAUCAUUGAUUAUGCCUGCAGAUAGCUGGUAACAGGUUGAUGAAUUUUAAAAUCUGGUUACCUAUCUAAUGCCAGGCUAGCUUCAUCUUUAUCACAAGCUUCUUUGCUUGGAUGCAAUUGUAUGGGAUUUUUUUAAAAAUCUUACUUUCAACUUAAACCCUGAUUUAAAUGUUCCUCUUUUUUUUUUCCUUUUUUUUUUUUUCUUUCAAUUUGUUGUGGAUUACUGAUAAGUGAAAUUUAUAGAUUUUACAAGGAAGACUACAUACAUCAACCCUCUUUGGAGCCUAUGGAUGUUGGAAUGUUUGGUUUAUUGAGUUAUACAUGCAUAUACACAGCGAAAAUUUGAAUUUU
This is an RNA transcript of Manihot esculenta (cassava), 2256 nucleotides long. It is a transcript of the gene named CDT1-like protein a, chloroplastic, with no coding region annotated. The record is from RefSeq and is a predicted model, not a curated record. NCBI's taxonomy places the organism in Eukaryota, Viridiplantae, Streptophyta, Magnoliopsida, Malpighiales, Euphorbiaceae. The transcript is spliced from 9 exons.